RNAcentral lists this ribosomal RNA (447 nucleotides) under uncultured bacterium. RNAcentral's name for it is "bacterial SSU rRNA". It matches the Rfam family "Bacterial small subunit ribosomal RNA", at positions 355 to 825 of the family's 1533-position model. The record is from RNAcentral.
UGGGGAAUAUUGGACAAUGGGGGCAACCCUGAUCCAGCCAUGCCGCGUGUGUGAAGAAGGCCUUAGGGUUGUAAAACACUUUCAGCGGGGAAGAUGAUGACGGUACCCGCAGAAGAAGCCCCGGCUAACUCCGUGCCAGCAGCCGCGGUAAUACGGAGGGGGCUAGCGUUGUUCGGAAUUACUGGGCGUAAAGGGCGUGUAGGCGGCCUGCCAAGUCAGAUGUGAAAGCCCCGGGCUUAACCUGGGAACUGCAUUUGAGACUGGCCGGCUAGAGGUUGGAAGAGGAGAGUGGAAUUCCCAGUGUAGAGGUGAAAUUCGUAGAUAUUGGGAAGAACACCAGUGGCGAAGGCGGCUCUCUGGAACGAUACUGACACUGAGACGCGAAAGCGUGGGUAGCGAACAGGAUUAGAUACCCCAGUAGUCCCUGAGCGGGCUGGCAAGGCGCAU